RNAcentral lists this transfer RNA (71 nucleotides) under Planctomycetaceae bacterium. RNAcentral describes it as "tRNA-Ile". It matches the Rfam family "tRNA". From Rfam's summary of the family: Transfer RNA (tRNA) molecules are approximately 80 nucleotides in length. Their secondary structure includes four short double-helical elements and three loops (D, anti-codon, and T loops). The record is from RNAcentral. Lineage: Bacteria; Pseudomonadati; Planctomycetota; Planctomycetia; Planctomycetales; Planctomycetaceae.
CGCCUGGUGGUGUAACGGAAGCACAUCGUUCUGAUACGACGGGAGCGGUGGUUCAACUCCACCCUGGGCGA